UUCGCAAUGCCCGAAAGGGUGACGAAGCGACGCCGCGUGUGGGAAGAAGGCCUUCGGGUUGUAAACCGCUGUUGGGAGUUAGGAAGUGUGGAGGUGUUAAUAGCGCUGUCACUUGACUAAAGCUCCAGAGGAAGCCACGGCUAACUCUGUGCCAGCAGCCGCGGUAAUACAGAGGCGGCAAGCGUUGUUCGGAAUUAUUGGGCGUAAAGAGCACGUAGGCGGCUCUGUAAGUCAGCUGUGAAAGCCUUCUGCUUAACGGAAGAACAGCAGUUGAAACUACAGGGCUUGAGUGCGGGAGGGGAGAGUGGAACUUCUGGUGGAGCGGUGAAAUGCGUAGAUAUCAGAAGGAACGCCGGCGGCGAAAGCGGCUCUCUGGCCCGUAACUGACGCUGAGUGUGCGAAAGCUAGGGGAGCAAACGGGAUUAGAUACCCCGGUAGUCCUAGCCGUAAACGAUGGGCACUAAGUAGAG
RNAcentral lists this ribosomal RNA (470 nucleotides) under uncultured bacterium. Its description in RNAcentral is "bacterial SSU rRNA". It matches the Rfam family "Bacterial small subunit ribosomal RNA", at positions 365 to 825 of the family's 1533-position model. The record is from RNAcentral.